RNAcentral lists this ribosomal RNA (468 nucleotides) under uncultured bacterium. RNAcentral's name for it is "partial 16S ribosomal RNA". It matches the Rfam family "Bacterial small subunit ribosomal RNA", at positions 28 to 507 of the family's 1533-position model. The record is from RNAcentral.
GAUGAACGCUGGCGGCGUGCUUAACACAUGCAAGUCGAACGGAAAGGCGCGGCUUUUGUGGGGUGCUCGAGUGGCGAAGGGGGGAGUAACACGUGAGUAACCUGCCCUUGACUUUGUGAGAACUCCAGGAAACUGGGGCUAAUACCGGAGAGGAGCUCCUGCUGCAUGGGGGGGGUUGGAAAGUGUCGGCGGUUGGGGAUGGACUCGCGGGUUAUCAGCUGGUUGGGGGGGUAGUGGCUUACCAGGGCUUUGAGGGGUAGCCUGCCUGAGAGGGUGACCGGCGACAUUGGGACUGAGGUACGGCCCAGAAGCCUACGGGAGGCAGCAGUGGGGAAUCUUGCACAAUGGGCGGAAGCGUGAUGUAGCAACGCCGCGUGCGGGAUGCCGGGUUUCGGGUUGUAAACCGAUUUCGACUGUGACGAAGCGUGCGUGACGGUAAUGGGUAAAGAAGCAACGGCUAACUACGUG